Molecule: transfer RNA, 77 nt
Filed under: Enterococcus faecalis PC1.1
Lineage: Bacteria; Bacillati; Bacillota; Bacilli; Lactobacillales; Enterococcaceae
Description: tRNA-Ile
Rfam family: tRNA
About the family: Transfer RNA (tRNA) molecules are approximately 80 nucleotides in length. Their secondary structure includes four short double-helical elements and three loops (D, anti-codon, and T loops). Further hydrogen bonds mediate the characteristic L-shaped molecular structure. tRNAs have two regions of fundamental functional importance: the anti-codon, which is responsible for specific mRNA codon recognition, and the 3' end, to which the tRNAs corresponding amino acid is attached (by aminoacyl-tRNA synthetases). tRNAs cope with the degeneracy of the genetic code in two manners: having more than one tRNA (with a specific anti-codon) for a particular amino acid; and 'wobble' base-pairing, i.e. permitting non-standard base-pairing at the 3rd anti-codon position.
Source: RNAcentral
GGGCCUAUAGCUCAGCUGGUUAGAGCGCACGCCUGAUAAGCGUGAGGUCGAUGGUUCGAGUCCAUUUAGGCCCAUUU